Molecule: long non-coding RNA, 4083 nt
Organism: Oncorhynchus gorbuscha (pink salmon)
Lineage: Eukaryota; Metazoa; Chordata; Actinopteri; Salmoniformes; Salmonidae
Exons: 8
Source: RefSeq, a predicted model, not a curated record
UGUUAACAGGGGAAGCGGGUGGAAGGAGGAGGAGAAAGGUGAGGUAGAGAGAGAAUGUGGCUAAGAGCGGGGCACAGCGCCUGCUGUCUUCAUCCCUGCACCGCACGCGGCAUUCUCCCUCUGCCAGUGAUGAGGACUCUUAAAGAGGACAAAGAAGGAAGAAAGACGGCCUGAACAAAGAAUGGUGAAAAAGCUCUCUGAGCAAUGAGGAUACCAUCGAUUUGAGUCCCACUGCUUCUCUCAGACAUGUUCCAUUUGCCUGCCCUUUUCUUCCAUGUCAAUCCACUACUUUUCUGUGCUGGGAGAAGAUAUCAAAGUUCAUGUCAAUGUCGGCAGUUACAAUGUAACAGAUGAAACCAAAUGUACCAAAAAAAAAACUUCCAACCCAGAGGUUGAUAAACAAUGAAUCUUUGGGAAGAUUCAGCAGCCAUCCGCCACCUGCAAAGAUCAACUGGAGUUCCAGGGUUGAAAGGAAGUGGACUCACACAAUAGAUGCCCCCCUACAACCCUCUCUUUUAUCCUCACCAUCCAACACACAUGGGCACACUGCCAACUCGGAAUCUUAAGAACUCUCAUUCAAAAGAACCCCCCUUAAGAAGGGGAUUUGUUUAAAGCCAGGACCCUUUCUCUCUCCCAGUCUCCUUGUAUUUUCCCCCUUUCAUAUCCCCAUGAGAAGAGCGAAUUUUGCUUGAUUAUUCUCCGACACCGCAACUGGGAUUUCUAAAAUUGCCACUCCAGCAGCGUUUUGUCAGAUUUAUGAAUUUUGUCAGUGAAGGGAUGCCAUUCUCGCUCUAGGUGGACACAGCCAGAGGAGGAGGAAAUGGAGCCAGAAGAGCUGCACAGAAGACAUCGCACUAAUGUCCACAGAAUAUUUUCCAAAAAGUCUUGGGGAUCAUCAAGAUGUGUUACGAUCAUUGGAAGCAUACUCGGACCAACGUGCAGCGUGAUCUGGAUUCCACAUCUUUUUAUUUAAAGAAGAAGAAAAUAAGGAAGAUCCAGAGAUGACUGACCCCUGUUGACUUACGGAAGAUGAACUCAAGGCCACACUGCUUAAAUAUGGAGUCAAAGUUGGAGCCAUUGUAGCAGGACAUGGCGAUGGUGGACAAGCAUACCACGGCUAACCGAUCACCUUGCGUCACCCCAAAGACCUCCUUUUUCUAACAGCAUAUCAAGGCACCUACAUUAGCAUGUUUAGUUGUCUUUCAGAUUCAUUCCCAUCUUUCCACUCUUUCAACAGUUCAUACACUAGAGCUACGGUGUAUAUGCAGGUCUACACGGUAUACUUUAUUAUCCUGUUAAUGGUUUUACCAUCACUGUGAUUUUGAUUGGGUUGUUCAUGUAUAUAACCAAGCUAGUGCAUGAAUCAAAGUGCUCAUUCAUACCGAAAAUAAUGUUUUACUAAGAAAAGGUUUGGGGGAAAUGUCUUGUUCACUGUACUUUUACCUCACGACUUUGAACCUAAGGUCUUGCACAAUAACCACAAGUGGCUUUAUGACUUUCCCCUAACCUUUUAUCUCUUUGCCAUUCCACCCGAUCUGAUUUAAGAUGGUGAGGGACACUGGUAGUGUGGCUGUUUCUCUUUCCUCUCAUCUGUUUGGGUCAGACAGUCAGAUUGGUUUCACUUCUUCAGGAGCCGGUCUCAGAUGUCCUGAUGGAGUUCCUAGAGACCGAAUCUAUACACACUGGCAAUGUGUAAGUCCAGUUUCCAUAAAACAACACUACACAUACAGAAGCCAUGUCAAUUAGGGAAUGGUCACCAUUUGUAAGGUAGCUAUCUCUCAGGUUAAAUAAGGUUAUGUCCCAGAGACUUUAUGGUUACUGCUUACUGAGGCUACCUUGAUUCCAUAUUAUCCUACUUAUUUUUCUACCUUUUUUAUGUGGUCAAUUAUACUCUUUCUUCCACUGCCACCUGGCGGAGGUCAAUCAAGGGUGCAGAGGGGCAACCAGUCCAGUGUAAAUACCCAGACCUGCCUGCCAGUCCCAUGACCCUACAAAGACUGGUAUUGGAGCGCUGCCUGGUGCCUCUGUGGGCCCAGAUCCGGGUCUUCCUCAUCUUGACUUGCCUCCUCAAACUCAUCUACUCUGCCAUGGAGCACAGCUCGGACCAUCCUUUUGUGGCAUUGCUGGACAACCUCAGUAUGGGGACAGCGACUGAGGGACUGUCGCUCCAGGAUGACCCUUAGGACUCAUCUGUACACCCUCUCUAGGGAGGAGUAACUCCCCUGCUCUAGGUCUGUGUACUGACUCUCCACCCUUCUCCUAAAGGGAGAAAUCAUUUUAUGCAUGAAUUUAAUAGUGGAUAAAACUUCAUCCAGCCAAUGCUUAUACCAAUCCUAAACUUUAAAAUCCAUGAUGAGAAGUAGUGCACACUUGGGGGUUAAGGAAGGAUGCUCCACAAAUUGGUUUACAGUUGUUGUGAGGAACUUCAUUUGGUCACUGUAAUUCACCUUUACACUUUGGAUGAUGCCACUCUUAACCAAGCAAGGUCGCCAUUAUAACCUUGUGGUUUGGAAAAUGUUCAGAUGAAACUACUGUUCAAAUAUAUACAGUGAUGGUGGAAGUGCAGAAAAUAAAGUUAUUAGGCCUAAUUUAGAGAAAUAAUACAAUUUUGAGAUUUGUAACUGAAUGGAAGAUGUAUUUAAUUAAAAGUAUGUAUCAAGGAGAACUGAAUGGCGUUACGGCUACAAUUUACACAUUGGUUCAGUUGGGGUUAUCAAAGUCCAAUCUGUGUCAGAGUUCAUCAAAGAUGUGAUCAGGGACAGUAUUCUCUUGUUUUAAAGGUUUUGUAAAUGUAUCUUUAUUCAGUACAGUUUUUGGGCACUGAAAUGUCAAACUAAUAAGCAAUAUAAAAAAAUAUAUUUUGUGAAUACUCAUUACCUUUUCAAAUCCAUCUGUAAUUUUUCUGUUUCUAUUUUGGGUGUGCAAUAGCUACUUUAAACAAAAAAUGUUAGGGAAUUCAGUGUUUUUUUUCAAGAGUUGCUUUUGUGUUUGAGUUAUUUUGAAUAAAGAGAUUUGUUUCAUUUGGACAUGGUCCCAAAUGAAUAACACAUGCUGUAUGACAUUUUGAUUCAAACUGCAUGCAUGUGCAUAUUUAGUUGAACAGUUAGUCAGUAUGCUGGUUAUCUGGAGACAUAUGUCAGUGCUAUCUUGGAUCCUUGUGAUGACCAUACUCGAACUUUAACUCUUUCCAUUUCAAAUGUUAACUUAAAGGGUGGGUACCCUAUUUCAAGCCCAGCACAUGACGCUCUAAUGAUCAUAUAUAAAAACGUCACGAGUAGCUGCAUUAACACGCUGUGUGUGUACUGUCAAAUAGUAAAAAUGACUGACCGCAGUGGGAAAUUUAAUAUUAUGAAGUUAGUUAAAAUUGUCUCUCAGCUUAUUAUUCGUUGUUAUAGUAUGUUUUGUUGCAGCCACUUUAAGGACUCUGACGUUUGACGUGAAUUCAGGACUUCAACUUGCACACUGGGAAAAGACGAACAACAUUGCGUCUGACAUAAACCAGCACCAGCGAAAGGAGCUUCAUGCUCAUUUCAGAGAGGCGAUCCAGAUUCCCACGGUGUCAACAUCACCGCACUGGGCGAGUUCGACAGCCUCCUGAGGAGAGAUAUAUUUCUCGUCAGGAUGGCCUCUUCUGACCAAGUAGUUUGAAUAAUGUAAGUACACACAGUCUGUGAGGGUGGGGUAAAAGGUGGGACAGAUGCAAGGUUUCCAAUAGCCGGCUUUUGGCCGUAAAUAAAUGAAUAGAGAGAAAUACAAUUUGGAAAAGGUGAAAAAUUCCCAUUGAGAAAUAAUGAUAUUUAGCCUAUUCAUUGAUGGAACUAACAGUUGAUCUAAAUACAUUUGACCAGUCAUGCUUAAUGCUUAUUGGUCUAUGGGGUAAUUUAGUGAAAUUUAAUUGGCGCUGUCGGACAGAUGGUUGUAUGAAUUUGGGAUCAAUUCAGAAGCAUACCACGCAGCAUUCCACUGCUGGCUUGCUUCUGAAGCUAAUCAGGGUUGGACCUGGUCAGUUCCUGGAUGGGAGACCAGAUGCUGCUGAAGGUGGUGUUGGAGGGCCAGUAGAAGGCACUCUUUCCUCUGGUCUAA